UACGGGGGGGGCAAGCGUUUUUCGGAAUUACUGGGCGUAAAGGGCGCGUAGGCGGGCGGGCAAGUCUCUCGUGAAAGCCCACGGCUCAACCGUGGAAUUGCGGGAGAUACUGCCUGUCUUGAGUCCGGGAGAGGAGGGUGGAAUUCCCAGUGUAGCGGUGAAAUGCGUAGAUAUUGGGAGGAACACCGGUGGCGAAGGCGGCUCUCUGGACCGGUACUGACGCUGAGGCGCGAAAGCUAGGGGAGCAAACGGG
This 253-nucleotide ribosomal RNA is filed under the name uncultured bacterium. Its description in RNAcentral is "partial 16S ribosomal RNA". It matches the Rfam family "Bacterial small subunit ribosomal RNA", at positions 524 to 776 of the family's 1533-position model. The record is from RNAcentral.